ACAAUAAAUCACAAUGCGGAACAUCUGUUUUGCAAUUGGAUUGAGAACAACGCACAACACUUAUCGAUAAACAAUUGGAGGGCAAGUCUGGUGCCAGCAGCCGCGGUAAUUCCAGCUCCAAUAGCGUAUAUUAACGUUGUUGCAGUUAAAAAGCUCGUAGUUGAAGUGAAGUGUGGAAGUUUGGCAUUUUCGUUUGAAUUUGCUUCUCUUCUAUACUCUUUCCAAAUAGUUUGCAUGGGUAUUCAUUUAUCUGUGUAUUGCAUUUGGUCAUUUACUGUGAGAAAAUUAGAGUGUUCAAAGCAUACGUUUGUUUGAAUACAUUAGCAUGGAAUAAUUCGAAAAGGCUUUCAUGUUCGAUUUGAUUGGUUUGUUCGUGAAGGCAAGAUUAAAAGGGACAGUUGGGGGUAUUCAUAUUCAAUAGUCAGAGGUGAAAUUCUCGGAUUUAUGGAAGAUGAACAA
RNAcentral lists this ribosomal RNA (459 nucleotides) under Blastocystis sp. subtype 10. RNAcentral describes it as "SSU rRNA". It matches the Rfam family "Eukaryotic small subunit ribosomal RNA", at positions 470 to 942 of the family's 1831-position model. The record is from RNAcentral. Lineage: Eukaryota; Bigyra; Opalinata; Blastocystidae.